Molecule: ribosomal RNA, 253 nt
Filed under: uncultured bacterium
Lineage: Bacteria
Description: partial 16S ribosomal RNA
Rfam family: Bacterial small subunit ribosomal RNA
Source: RNAcentral
UACGUAGGAUGCGAGCGUUGUCCGGAUUUACUGGGCGUAAAGAGCGCGCAGGUGGCUUGGCAAGUUUGGCGUGAAAUCCCCCGGCUUAACUGGGGUAGGUCGUUGAAAACUGCUGAGCUUGAGUGCAGCAGAGGAAAGUGGAAUUACCGGUGUAGUGGUGAAAUGCGUAGAUAUCGGGAGGAACACCAGUGGCGAAAGCGGCUUUCUGGGCUGCAACUGACGCUGAGGCGCGAAAGCGUGGGGAGCGAACCGG